UACCGGAAGUCAUAGUCAAGUUGUGCGUGUUCAUGAGCACGGGAGCAGGAUUGGACCCGGCAAAACACGUUAGCUACCGUGGGAAGAAGAGAACCAGCCGGUGGAUCAAUCCACGGGAUGAAACAAAUAUAUGUUUGUUUGUCACCGUUCAGCUAUCAUACACUUCACGUUCUCAUUCGGAGCGUCUCGAUAAGAAGAGG
Long non-coding RNA from Notothenia coriiceps (black rockcod), 200 nucleotides. RefSeq lists it as uncharacterized. The record is from RefSeq and is a predicted model, not a curated record. Lineage: Eukaryota; Metazoa; Chordata; Actinopteri; Perciformes; Nototheniidae. The transcript has 2 exons.